GACGAACGCUGGCGGCGUGCUUAACACAUGCAAGUCGUACGGUAAGGCCCUUUCGGGGGUACACGAGUGGCGAACGGGUGAGUAACACGUGAGUAACCUGCCCACAACUUUGGGAUAACGCUAGGAAACUGGUGCUAAUACUGGAUAUGUGCUCCUGCUGCAUGGUGGGGGUUGGAAAGCUCCGGCGGUUGUGGAUGGACUCGCGGCCUAUCAGCUUGUUGGUGGGGUAGUGGCCUACCAAGGCGGCGACGGGUAGCCGGCCUGAGAGGGUGACCGGCCACAUUGGGACUGAGAUACGGCCCAGACUCCUACGGGAGGCAGCAGUGGGGAAUAUUGCACAAUGGGCGCGAGCCUGAUGCAGCAACGCCGCGUGCGGGAUAACGGCCUUCGGGUUGUAAACCGCUUUCAGCAGGGACGAAGCUUUUUGUGACGGUACCUGCAGAAGAAGCACCGGCUAACUACGUG
This 465-nucleotide ribosomal RNA is filed under the name uncultured bacterium. RNAcentral's name for it is "partial 16S ribosomal RNA". It matches the Rfam family "Bacterial small subunit ribosomal RNA", at positions 28 to 507 of the family's 1533-position model. The record is from RNAcentral.